Cavia porcellus (domestic guinea pig) is the source of this 2681-nucleotide long non-coding RNA. RefSeq lists it as uncharacterized. The transcript is spliced from 4 exons. NCBI's taxonomy places the organism in Eukaryota, Metazoa, Chordata, Mammalia, Rodentia, Caviidae. The record is from RefSeq and is a predicted model, not a curated record.
UUUACCUAAAAGGUAGCAUCUGGAAUCCGAGGGAUGCUAUAGAUCUCCUCCCCCAAACCCAAGAUUUCAGAAAUGGGUGCUCCAUGCCUCCAUGCCUCAAGUGCAUCGCGGUCACCGGCGGUAGAGGGUGGGUGGCAAGAGCAUAAACAGUCAGAGACCCCCUCCACAACACUGUCAGCCCCAUCAGGGCUGAGCCCGAGCCCCUUCUCCACUCGCAAAACCAAAGUUGGCUUUCCGGGUGACAGCCUCCUGCGAAGAGGCGGGGUGGGGGGACAGGGCCACUGCCUGGGGCAAGCUUGGAGGCAAAGAAGGGAAAGUGAAGCCCGGAGAGGAGGGCGAGGGGAGGCAGCCCACCUGGACAUGUGCUCCCUUUGGGGCCGGUGUGCUUUCUCCAGCCCCAGCUUGGUGAAGAUACCCACGAGCACCAUGACAGCCACCACCCCGCAGAUGAUGUAGACGAUCAGGUGAACGAAGGACCAGCACUGCAUUGAGGUCCAGGAAGAUUGAGACAAGAUCCCGUCUUGGACACUGUACACACUCAAAAAGAAACAGAAGGAUCAAGGACUCUCCCCUGGCUCUGAAGUCUUGCUUCUGUUUGUACAGUCAUGAGGAUGAGCACCCCACGAUGACACUCACAUAAAGGCCCCCUCUGACCAGAGAUGAUGGAUUCCUGACCUAGAAGGAACUAAUUAGUCAUGAUUCUGCCGAGCAGCCCAUUAUAUUUCCCUUCAAGAAGCUGAGCUAAGAAACACAGAGACUGCGGAGGGUGAGGAAGAAGAAUCAAGUGACAUGAAUGUUAGAAGUCAGAUUGAAGUCACACAAGAGCAGAAAUCAUAACGAUCUGAUUUGCUGCUUUAUGACCACUGCCAACACUUCCACACAUAGUAGGUGCUCAAUAAGUAUUCGCUGAAAAAAAUCACAAGAUGUAAAGCUCAUAAACUCCUACUGCUUCGGCCUUCUAGCUCAUUUCCUUUUCUCUCUUUUUUUUUUUUUUUUCUUAUUUCACGAGAUUUUCAUCUUUCCUAAAAGCUCCACUUCUAUCUAAGCUAAUUUGAGUAGAUUUGGGUAUCUUUUAUUCAAAAGAGCCUCUCAGCCACUGGGACCAACUCAACAAACAUGAUGGACAAGCUUCUUUUCUUCUACGUACAACUCAAACAAGUGGGGAAAAGAGCCCUUAAUCCUUGUCAGUGAGAGUAUGUUAAUACCUCCAAUCAUGGGGAGAUGAUAUACAUUUGAGUACAGUUUUGUCAGCAUUUGAGGCACGAACCUUAAAAUCUACAACCCUCCCUCAAGGAGUCUGUUCUUGUGUGGAAAGUAUCUGAAUCCUUGCAUAUAAGACUGUAGACAAGAACAUGUGAUGUAGAAUGCAACCGUGAAAAAUUGCCAGCAACCUAAACGUCUGCCAACAGAGAAGAGGCUCAAUAGAUGGAAUAAUAAAUAAAUAUGAUGCUAGACAGUAGCUAUCUCUAAAAAGUACUCCUUAGGAGAAAGAUUUUAAAAAAUAAGAAAGUCUUCUCCAUUUCUUAUUUUAUUUCUUCUGACAUGCCUUACUUUUGCGAUUUUAAUAAAUCCAUAAGUUUUCUUUAAUCAAACAUGACUUUAUUGAGUCUCAUGGAAAGUAUGUAUAUUCUUCAUUCUACCUCAUUCACUUUAUUGAAUAAAACAAUGUCAGUGGAAAACACAAAAAAUACACAUAAAAACACAUUUUAUGCAUAUUUGGCACAUAAAAAUAUUAAGAAUCAAGGCAUUUUUGAUACAUCCUAAUCUUUCAUUCCAAAAUUGGGGUCACGUUGUAAAGCCAAGGUCUGUCUUCUACUAGCUGUGAAUUCAUUAAAAGCGUAAAAGUUAGUUACUAAAGAUUUGUCAACCAGCAAUGAAAUCAGUGUUACUGCCCUGGGUACUAUUGUUACUCUACCCAGAUGUUCUUGGAUUCCUUUAACCAUGUCCCAUGUCCCUUAUCUGCUUUGAGGAUCUUUGCUUCUACUGCCAUGCACAGGCAAGUUUUAGAGGAAAAGACGCCCUCUCAGGCUACUAAGAACAUUUGCCUGGAGACCCAGGGAGUCACAGUGGUCAGAAGUUACAGCUCUGGCCAACAGCAUGGGAGGAGAUUUGGUUAAUGUCAUAUGGGUGCAGGAAUAUAAAAUUCCAGCUCUCUUGUCUGAAGCACAAGCUUUGAGAUAUGGUUCCACACUCUUGUGCAUCAAGAGACUAUCUUGUGGGCCAGUGGGAUCAUGGAACUUUGUCAGGUUUGUUUUUUUUUUUUUUUUUUUUUUUUUUUUUUGCAAAACACUUCUGUACAAGAGUUCCUGUCUCAGGUCCCUCUGAAAAGCUCAACCUCAAAAAAUUAAUUGUAUAAGUUUAAGCUCAAGAUCAGAAACACAAAGUGCAAAUUCAUUGGUCUAAGACCAGCUACAGUAAGUACCUAUUCUAUGGUUUCACAAGUCAGGAUGACUCAGAUCAUAGCUGAUGUAAAGACAGUUUCUUGCAGCUUUCACUAUACUGUUUACUAUUCAGGUUCUGUCACCUGCUAAUGAUUCUGUCUAUUAAAACAUACAUUAUCUUCUCUUGUUCACAUGUGUUAAGGCAAAAAAGGUUUCAUUUGAGAAAUUAAGUUUUCCUAGCUACAUUGAUCCUUAAAAUUAUUGACAUCUGGAAUUGCAAUAAAAACUUUGUAGAUUCUU